CACGGAGUUAGCCGGUGCUGAUUCCUCAACUACCGUCACUACAGGGCGCACCCUGUACGUUCUUGGUUGAUAAAAGAAGUUUACAACGCAGAGCGCCUUCGUCCUUCACGCGGCAUGGCUGGGUCAGAGUUGCCUCCAUUGCCCAAUAUUCCCUACUGCUGCCUCCCGUAGGAGUCGGGUCCGUCUCUCAGUACCCGUGUGGGGGCCAAUCCUCUCAGAACCCCUACUGAUCAUCGGCUUGGUAGUCCCUUACACCCCCAACUACCUAAUCAGACGCAAGCCCCUCCACUACCCAUAAAUGUUUACCUUAACCAUCAGGUGAUGCCAAAGGACCAUGCGGGUUUACCCAGCUUUCGCCGGGCUACUCCCCCAGUAGUGGCAGGUUGCUUACGGCGUUACGCACCGUUUGCCACUCUGCAGGGUUGCCCCUGCCACCGUUCGACUUGCAUGUAUUAGCCUGCCGCUAGCGUUCAUCCUGAGCCAGGAUCAAACUCU
RNAcentral lists this ribosomal RNA (495 nucleotides) under uncultured Sphingobacteriales bacterium. Its description in RNAcentral is "partial 16S ribosomal RNA". Lineage: Bacteria; Pseudomonadati; Bacteroidota; Sphingobacteriia; Sphingobacteriales. The record is from RNAcentral.